GUCUCUGUAGCCUAGUGGUAAGGCAUUUGCCUCUUAAGCAAGCGGUCGUCAGUUCGAAUCUGGCCAGGGACA
Molecule: non-coding RNA, 72 nt
Organism: Mercurialis annua (annual mercury)
Lineage: Eukaryota; Viridiplantae; Streptophyta; Magnoliopsida; Malpighiales; Euphorbiaceae
Source: the annotation of a RefSeq genome assembly